CGGUACAGAGUCAAUGUGGAGGCUAUAUACAGGGGGUACCGGUACAGAGUCAAUGUGGAGGCUAUAUACAGGGGGUACCGGGACAGAGUCAAUGUGGAGGCUAUAUACAGGGGGAACCGGUACAGAGUCAAUGUGGAGGCUAUAUACAGGGGGUACCGGUACAGAGUCAAUGUGGAGGCUAUAUACAGGGGGUACCGGUACAGAGUCAAUGUGGAGGCUAUAUACAGGGGGUACCGGUACAGAGUCAAUGUGGAGGCUAUAUACAGGGGGUACCGGUACAGAGUCAAUGUGGAGGCUAUAUACAGGGGGUACCGGUACAGAGUCAAUGUGGGGGCUAUAUACAGGGGGUACCGGUACAGAGUCAAUGUGGAGGCUAUAUACAGGGGGGUACCGGUACAGAGUCAAAGUGGAGGCUAUAUACAGGGGGUACCGGUACAGAGUCAAUGUGGAGGCUAUAUACAGGGGGUACCGGUACAGAGUCAAUGUGGAGGCUAUAUACAGGGGGUACCGGUACAGAGUCAAUGUGGAGCCUAUAUACAGGGGGUACCGGUACAGAGUCAAUGUGGAGGCUAUAUACAGGGGGUACCGGUACAGAGCCAA
This 600-nucleotide long non-coding RNA is filed under the name Salmo salar (Atlantic salmon). Its description in RNAcentral is "lncRNA (ENSSSAG00000122260.1)". The record is from RNAcentral. Lineage: Eukaryota; Metazoa; Chordata; Actinopteri; Salmoniformes; Salmonidae.